RNAcentral lists this transfer RNA (72 nucleotides) under Bos taurus (domestic cattle). It matches the Rfam family "tRNA". From Rfam's summary of the family: Transfer RNA (tRNA) molecules are approximately 80 nucleotides in length. Their secondary structure includes four short double-helical elements and three loops (D, anti-codon, and T loops). RNAcentral also lists the same sequence under 5 other names. Lineage: Eukaryota; Metazoa; Chordata; Mammalia; Artiodactyla; Bovidae. The record is from Rfam by way of RNAcentral.
UCCCUGGUGGCUCAGAUGGUAAAGAAUCUGCCUGCAAUGCGGGAGACCUUGGUUCGAUCCCUGGUUUGGGAA